Molecule: ribosomal RNA, 154 nt
Organism: Cryptomeria japonica (Japanese cedar)
Lineage: Eukaryota; Viridiplantae; Streptophyta; Pinopsida; Cupressales; Cupressaceae
Product: 5.8S ribosomal RNA
Exons: 1
Source: RefSeq, a predicted model, not a curated record
AACUCUCGGUAAUGGAUAUCUCGGCUCUCACCAUGAUGAAGAGUGUAGCAAAAUGCGAUACUUAGUGUGAAUUGCAGAAUCCUUUGAAUCAUUGAGUCUUUGAAUGCAAGUUGCACCCGAGGCCUCGACUGAGGGCACAUCUACUUUGGCAUCA